Molecule: ribosomal RNA, 293 nt
Filed under: uncultured bacterium
Lineage: Bacteria
Description: partial 16S ribosomal RNA
Rfam family: Bacterial small subunit ribosomal RNA
Source: RNAcentral
GUGCCAGCCGCCGCGGUAAUACGUAGGGUCCGAGCGUUGUCCGGAUUUAUUGGGCGUAAAGAGCUCGUAGGCGGUUCCGUAAGUCAGAUGUGAAAACUCAGGGCUCAACCCGGAGACGCCAUCUGAUACUGCGGUGACUGGAGUCUGGUAGGGGAACACGGAAUUCCUGGUGUAGCGGUGAAAUGCGCAGAUAUCAGGAGGAACACCGAUGGCGAAGGCAGUGUUCUGGGCCAGUACUGACGCUGAGGAGCGAAAGCGUGGGGAGCAAACAGGAUUAGAAACCCCCGUAGUCC